RNAcentral lists this ribosomal RNA (401 nucleotides) under uncultured bacterium. RNAcentral's name for it is "partial 16S rRNA". It matches the Rfam family "Bacterial small subunit ribosomal RNA", at positions 975 to 1375 of the family's 1533-position model. The record is from RNAcentral.
CCGGCCCUGGCCUUCCCACGGCCGGGGAUUUACCGGUCCCUUCCUUUGGGACCGGGGGGACCGGGGGGGCCAGGGUGUUGUUCGGCCGGGUUCUGGGGAUGUGGGGUAAGGUCCGGCACGGGGGCCAACCUUUCCUUCCGGAACCCAGGGAGUAAGUUGGGCCAUUCGGGAGGGACUCCCGGGGCCACCCGGGGGGAGGGGGGGGAGGCGGCCAAUCCUCCAGCCCCUUAAGGUUUGGGGUUCCCCCCGUGUUCCAAGGGGGUAACCAAGGGGAAGCGGGCCGGGGAGGUUAACCAAUUUUCAAAAUAACGUCUCAGUUCGGAUUGUAGUCUGCAACUCGACUACAUGAAGCUGGAAUCGCUAGUAAUCGCGAAUCAGAAUGUCGCGGUGAAUACGUUCCC